AUGGAUGAUAGAGGCGCGGCAUUUAAGAGUACCUCUGCAGAGGUAAGCACGAUGAAGCACAGGGAAAGGAAAUGCCGCCGAAGUGUACACCCGACGCUUUAAGGGUGUAUGCUGGGCCUGCACAGAAUAUGUGCAGGACUGUCACAAAUAUCAUCAAAUUGUGGAGAGCUAUCAUUCAA
This 179-nucleotide non-coding RNA is filed under the name Thermacetogenium phaeum. RNAcentral describes it as "Lysine sequence". It matches the Rfam family "Lysine riboswitch aptamer". Rfam says of the family: Riboswitches are metabolite binding domains within certain messenger RNAs that serve as precision sensors for their corresponding targets. Allosteric rearrangement of mRNA structure is mediated by ligand binding, and this results in modulation of gene expression. This family includes riboswitches that sense lysine in a number of genes involved in lysine metabolism, including lysC. Lineage: Bacteria; Bacillati; Bacillota; Clostridia; Thermoanaerobacterales; Thermoanaerobacteraceae. RNAcentral also lists the same sequence under 1 other name. The record is from RNAcentral.